AGCCCUAAUUGGAAAAUUCAAGUUGAAUCUGAGAACUGAGAAGUGAGAAUCGUCCGCCGCACUCUUCCUCCCUCUAACCCUAAUCCCUUCACCAACUCCAUCCUCAGUCCGUCGCCGGUCGCCGGUCUGACCCCCCUCCAGCCGUCGCCCCUCCAGCUCCGGUCGCCUCCCCUGCUCCUGUCGCCCCUUCAGCUUUCACGCCGUCGUGUUCAUUCUCUCCACACUUCACAGCUCGGCCUCCAACUCCAGAUUUUGUGAAUUAAAUUUCAGAUUAGUAGAUGAAAAAAGUGUUGAGUAUCUUGUUUGUGGUCAAAAUUGGCUUCGCAAGUCUUCCAAGUUUAGUGUUGAAGAAAUUCUUGAAGAUGUCCAAAAGAUAGAAGAAGGUAUUGCAUUGAUGUCUACUCAAGAUUCAACAAAUUAAUCAAUCUCCAUUAUUUGUUGAAACUUGCACUUGUUAGACAAUAUUGAAGACUUUGUCAUGGAACUUCAUUUUGGUUUUAUU
Molecule: non-coding RNA, 502 nt
Organism: Salvia hispanica
Lineage: Eukaryota; Viridiplantae; Streptophyta; Magnoliopsida; Lamiales; Lamiaceae
Source: RefSeq, a predicted model, not a curated record